GUCUAUGGCCAUGCAACCCUGAACAAGCCCAAUCCCAUCUGAUCUCAGAAGCUAAGCAGGGUCACGCCUGGAUAGUACUUGGAUGGGAGACAACCGAGGAAGAUCAGGUGCUGUAGGCA
RNAcentral lists this ribosomal RNA (119 nucleotides) under Pteropus alecto (black flying fox). The record is from RNAcentral. Lineage: Eukaryota; Metazoa; Chordata; Mammalia; Chiroptera; Pteropodidae.